GAAAGCGUGACGAGGUUAAUCCGAGUGACUUCCGCUGAGGAGGUCUUUUGUCAGCUAUAAAUAGGCGGGCGAAUAAGGGGAGGGCAAGCCUGGUGUCAGCCGCCGCGGUAAUACCAGCUCCUCGAGUGGUCGGGGCGAUUAUUGGGCCUAAAGCAUCCGUAGCCGGUUCCGUAGGUCUUCUGUUAAAUCCAACCGCUUAACGGUUGACCUGCAGAAGAUACCGCGGGACUAGGAGGCGGGAGAGGCGGACGGUACUCCGCGUGUAGGGGUAAAAUCCUUUGAUCCGCGGAAGACCACCAGUGGCGAAGGCGGUCCGCCAGAACGCGCUCGACGGUGAGGGAUGAAAGCUG
Molecule: ribosomal RNA, 350 nt
Filed under: uncultured crenarchaeote
Lineage: Archaea; Thermoproteati; Thermoproteota
Description: bacterial SSU rRNA
Rfam family: Archaeal small subunit ribosomal RNA
Source: RNAcentral